AUUAAUAAUGUAUGAUUCUCAAUAGUAUAUUUAUAUAUGAUAUGUAGAUCAUACCCCGAAUCAAUAUAUAGUUAUCAAACGUAAAUGCAUUUUAAUAUAGGAUGUCAUUAAAAAGGAGGGUCAUUUUUAUAUAAAAUCUUGCAAAAUUAUGACCCAUAUUUUUGGCACAUCCCCGUAUACCCAAUAAUAGGAAGUUGACCCCCCGUGCUA
This 210-nucleotide long non-coding RNA is filed under the name Mytilus galloprovincialis (Mediterranean mussel). The record is from RNAcentral. Lineage: Eukaryota; Metazoa; Mollusca; Bivalvia; Mytilida; Mytilidae.